AGAGGGAGAAAAAUCAUCAGUGCAUUUGAAUAGCCACUAAUAGCUCCUCUCUCUCCUGACAUGAACAUUAAAUGGGAGGAAUAUCACCUAAUUUAACAUCGGUAUUUCUAAGCUUUCUUGACGUCUACAUGGAACCUGGAUGGAAGUAGCAACCUGGAUGCAAUCAUGAGGGGCAAAUACCAGUCCUCCUAACUUGUUAUUGAAUGGAAAGUUCAGAUGUUUUCUCCAGAGGACUUAGUUUGAAAUUUUAGAGCCAACGGCUACUAUCCUGUCUCUGCAGUAUGGCAGUGGAAACCGCUUCCACCAACUGCAACAAUAAGAGUGUUGACCAAGACCACUCUGCAUUCCUGAGCUGGGAGUUGAGCCUGUACUGUGAGAGGUGAAAACACUGCACAGCACCGCUCUCCGAGGUGAAGACACCAGAGGAAGUUCUCUGUUCUCACGCAGAGAUCUGUUUGAGUGGCAGCCCUUCUUACCAUGAAUCAACCUGCUUACAUGGUAGUAUCCAAGUUGCUUCAUGUUUUUGCUCAUAAAUAUUAGUCUCAUCUAGAGAACAAAUAGAACUGUGCUGUUCUGAAUAGAAUGUUGCUAAAUAAUGAAAGCAGCCCAUGGUCUAUUUGAAGUAGUGAAAUAGAGGAAAGAGGAGGAAAAUAAAACCAUGUAUCAACUAAACA
Molecule: long non-coding RNA, 674 nt
Filed under: Numida meleagris (helmeted guineafowl)
Lineage: Eukaryota; Metazoa; Chordata; Aves; Galliformes; Numididae
Description: lncRNA (ENSNMEG00000022436.1)
Source: RNAcentral